GCAGCCGCGGUAAUACGUAGGGGGCAAGCGUUGUCCGGAAUUAUUGGGCGUAAAGCGCGCGCAGGCGGUCUGUUAAGUCUGGAGUAUAAACCUAGGGCUCAACCUUGGGUCGCUCCGGAAACUGGGAGACUGGAGUGCAGGAGAGGAAAGUGGAAUUCCACGUGUAGCGGUGAAAUGCGUAGAGAUGUGGAGGAACACCAGUGGCGAAGGCGACUUUCUGGCCUGUAACUGACGCUGAGGCGCGAAAGCGUGGGGAGCAAACAGG
RNAcentral lists this ribosomal RNA (265 nucleotides) under uncultured bacterium. RNAcentral describes it as "partial 16S ribosomal RNA". It matches the Rfam family "Bacterial small subunit ribosomal RNA", at positions 511 to 776 of the family's 1533-position model. The record is from RNAcentral.